This 7082-nucleotide long non-coding RNA is filed under the name Homo sapiens (human). Its description in RNAcentral is "non-protein coding lnc-MAPK8IP2-2:3". Lineage: Eukaryota; Metazoa; Chordata; Mammalia; Primates; Hominidae. The record is from RNAcentral.
GUGUGCGCCUGAGGCUGUUGGCUGCGGUCUUGAAACGGGCUCUGGGAGCUUCCUCUGCGCGGUCGGCCCUGGCUGAGGCGUCCCGGGCUGCGCGCGGGGCUCGGCGCUGCGCAGUGUCCGGUGUCCUCUCGGUCCGGAGCUUCUCCAGAGGAGGAGCGGCUCGUGCGCCCCCAGACCUCCGGUACUGGGAGACUCGGGCCCUCCUGUAAGAGACCUGAGCGCGGAGCGUUAUGGGCACCCGGUGAAUGAGCAAAUGGCAGGGAAAACCGUGCAGCCCCAUGGACUGCGGGCUCUUCCUUCACGACUAGCAAAAGCUUUGACACCCUUUCUCCUGCGUACGCGUGUCUGUGUGCGUGUAAGCUGUGGCUGGGUGCGGGGGGCUGUGUACGUGUCUGUGUGUGGUGUGUGUGGAGUGUUUGAGGCAGGUGUGUGGUGUUUCAGGUGUGUGUGCAUGUGUGGUGUUUGAGGUGUGUGUGUGUGUUUUUGUAGUGUUUGAGGGAUAUGUGUGUGUGGUGUUUGAGGUGGGUGUGUGGUGUUUGAGGGGUGUGUGUGUGUGGUUGAGGGGUGUGUUUGGUGUUUGAGGGGUGUGUGUGGUUGAGGUGUAUGGUGGUUGAGGUGUGUGUAGUGUUUGAGGCACGUAUGUGUGUGGUGUUGGGUGUGUGUGGUGUUAGAGGUGUGGCGUAUGUGUGUUUGCGGUGGUUGAGGUGUGUGUGUGUGUCUGGUGUUUAGGGUGUGUCUGUUGUGUGCGUGUGGUGGUGGAGGCGUGGUGUGGUGUGGAAUGUGUGUCUGGGGUCCAGUCUGGCCUGUUGCAGGGUUACGCUGCUGGGGAAAAACUCAUCUGAGGACAACGUGAUUGGGUCCUCGCUCCCUCGUUGGGCAGCCUUGGACUUAACCUUUUUGAUCUUGAAGGAAAACACAAUAUGUCACCUCCAAAUAUAUUUCCUUGACACGGUUCAAGACAGUUACUCAGAAGGACUGGAAAUAGAAGAAUAGCUGAAAAGCUGUCUUUUGUGGGGGAGAUUUGCAUCUGUGGAGAGAAUCUACACUGAUGCGGCCAGGCCUCCUCUGAGGCCCUCCUUGCCUGAUCUGGGAAGAGUAACAGUCUGACGCCUUUAAAGGCCUGAAGGGAACAUUCACCAUCUGUUCUCUCUCAGGGCUGCUACCUGUGAGGUUUCAUCUGUAGAACAAGGCCACCUUUGCUAGCCAGGCCUCCUCUGCUCUCCCUCCUGUAACCGGUCUUGCCACUGGUCACCUGAUUUUCCACCAUAAACUGUGGCCAUACUUUGAGCCCAUGUUCUUUCUGUAACCUCAAGAUGGUAUAUAAGCUUCCGAACCCCAUUGGGAGGUUGGGGUCAUCACUCUGGUUCUCCCUGUGUGCAUGAAUAAAUCUGUAUGCCUUUUUUCUUACUAACCUGGCUUUUGUCAGUUGAUUUUCUGUGAACUCAGAAUGCAGAAAAGUUUUUCUCUAGGCUCCUACAGUUUUGGUGCAGUCGGUAGGAUAACUAAAGUCACUCUCCUGGGAGCCUCCGUCAGGGGAACCCAGGAGCCGACAAGCUGGCAGAAAGAAGGGUAAGAAGGUCUUAGCAGCCAGGCUCCCGGCCUCUCUGGAAUCUUGUCAAGCCGACGGUAAAAAUGUCUGUUUACCUUGUUUUCCUCUUCAAAGUUUUAAUGAGAGAAAUGUAUUUAUGUGAUUAGUUUUGUAUUCAUAUUGUUUGAUUGCUUUUUUUCCCCAGAAAUAGUCGUCUUUCAUUCUUGUCUUUCUGUGUUUUUCUGUCAUAAAGAGGGUAGAACACAGGCCUAAAACCCCUGUAAACCCCGUCUUGGGGCCGUCCUGCAGGCUAGUCAGUUUUGCAGCUCUGAUCGGAUGCGUCUAGUUAGACAGACUUUGCUGUGGGUCCCUGAACUGAAAACUGGAUGAGAUUCUCCUCUCUUUUGAUGUCCUUGAAAGCUUGAGUUGUGAGCGAGUGGGAAUGAUGCAGGCCAGGCAGACCCCAGAGUGGAGCUUAGCCAGUGAGGGUUUUGGCUUUGCCCAGGAAAGAAUUCAAAGACAAGCCAGAGGUAGAAGAAAACAGCUUUAUUGAACAGGUGGCGUUAGAGCUCUGUGACUGCUCCUGCAGAGCAGGGCCACCCCGUAGGCUGAGAGUAGCAGCUCAGGGCAGUUUUGCAGUCACAUUUAUACGCACUUUUGAUUGCAUGUAGAUUAAAGGAUGGUUUAUGCAGAAGUUUCUAGGGAAGGAGUAGUCAUCAUUGGGUCAUUGCCAUGGAAAGGGGUGGCAACUCCUGGGUGUUGCCAUGGCAAUGGUAAACUGACAUGGCACAGUGGCGGGCAUAUCUGACUGAAAGCUGCUAUUGCCCCAACCCUGUUUUAGCCAAUCCUCAACUGGGUCAACUAAGUCCCACCUCCUACCUCAGGAGCACUCUCUUGGCCUCUGCCAAUCCGAGGUAGUGACUCGCAGGUCACAUUUUGUGGUCAGUCUGAAAAUGGUUGGGAACCCAAGACAUUUAAUAUUUUAAGCAGCACCGUUUUUGUUCUGAAUGUGUCAAGCUUUUAGUUUGUCUUAAGAAGUCCCUGCCAGGCGAGCUGUCAGAGCCCCGGCACUGGGAGUGGUGGUCAACUUGCGGGUUGGUAAAAAGAGUUUACCGACAAUAGGUUUGAAAAAGGAAAGUUUGGCCGGGCAUAGUGGCUCAUGCUUGUACUCUCAGCACUUUGGAAGUCCAAGGUGGGUGGAUCACCUGAGGUCAGGAGUUUGAGACCAGCCUGGCCAACAUGGAGAAACCCUGUCUCUACUGAAAGUAUAAAACUUAGCCAGGUGUGGUGGUGCGUGGCUGUAAUCCCAGCUACUUGGAAGGCUGAGGCAGGAGAAUUGCUUGAACCUGGGAGGCGGAGGUUGCAGUGAGCUGAGACAGAGCAAGACUGUCUCAAAAAAAAAAAGAAAAAAGAAAGUUUGCCGGGCACGGUGGCUCACGCCUGUAAUCCCAGCACUUUGGGAUGCUGAGGCAGGUGGAUCACCUGAGGGCAGGAGUUCAAGACCAGCCUGGCCAACAUGAUGAAACCCCAUCUCUACUAAAAAUACAAAAAAUUAGCUGGGCAUGGUGUCGGGAGCCUGUAUUCCCAGCUACUUGGGAGGCUGAGGCAGGAGAAUCGCUUGAACCUGGGAGAUGGAGGUUGUGGUGAGCUGAGAUCAUACCAUUGCACUCCAGCCUGGGCAACAAGAGUGAAACUCCAUCUCAAAAAAAAAAAAAAGAAAAAAAAAGAAAAGAAAGAAAGUUUAUUAGAAUGCUGCAGAAGAGUGCAAUGAGGUGCCUCAGCAAGAGGACUGAGUACGCCGGGUGGAUUUCUCCUUAAGGGCAUUUAUAGGCCUUAAAGUGGAGGCUUAACAGUAAUUUGGACCAUAUUAGCCACGUAAGUCAUGAUAAAUGAUUACAUUUAUAGUAAUUUUGGUGCCUUAAUGUCAGCGACGGUUGUACAGUGAGUUUCGUCAUGGUAUUCUGGAGACACAUAGAAAUUAUAGUUACUUACACGUUUUUUGGGGGAAGAAAUCUGGAACCAGAUGCCUGCUUUAGAUAAUAGGGAGGUUUAGUUACUUUUGAUUUUCCCCAGAUAAGGAGUUUUGCCUCGGAGGGCCUGUUUGAUGUUUGAUGGUCGCCAGGUGGUUUUUGCUCUCCUCAGGCCCAUCCAUAAGGGGCUUUUGUCAUCCCAAUGUUUGUUGCCUGGUCAGUCCUCAGAAAGCCCAAUCCCAACAGGCCUACCCUGUGUUACAGGUUAAUGGGUCUGUGACUGGCAGCCCCUGACAGAUUGUGUGUUACUGGAGGCACUGUAUGUACAAACACGUUCCUUAACUGUCUCUGGGAACAAGAGUCUUUUGCUGUCUUUGCCUAUUCCUGGGAGUGAAUUUUGGGGGCAUCAUUGGAACCUCCUCUUCUAUGCCCUCUCUAAACCUGGAAAAUAAUCUUUUGGGCUUUCCAUGAAGGGGCUUCUUGGAUUGAGUUGCUAUUGGAAUAAAUACAUCAUUGGAAAUUCUGAUUGUCAAUAGCCAAAAGAUGAAUCCUUUACAUUAGAAAGAUCCCUAAAUUAAAAAAAAAAAAAGAUUUUAGAGGUCUCUCAUUCUAAACAAUUGCCUUAUUUGUAUUUGUGGGGAGAUUAAAGGAAAGACACAUAAUAAUGUUGUGGCUAGCCUUAGAAAUCCUCUUCACAAAAUUAAAGAGCAAAAAUCUGACCUGUAACAAGUUAAAAUCCUUUGUGCGCGCAAACCAUUGCUUUGGAUCCCUGCAGGAUUCACAAUGAAGACUGCUGCAUCUUGGAAACUACUUAAAAUUCUGUACUUUCACUACCAUGGCCUGGGUUCAAUUCCCAAUAGAGGAACCAGUCCCUUUUGGUUUGAUAUUUGUGUGACUUUUGAAUUCUUUCUUUUGUUUUUUUUUUGGAGACGGAGUCUUGCUCUGUCGCCCAGGCUGGAGUGCAGUGGCAUGAUCUUGGCUCACUGCACCCUCUGCCUCCUGGGUUUAAGCAAUUCUCCUGCCUCAGCCUCUGGAGUAGCUGGGAUUACAGGUGUGAGCCACCACGCCCGGCUGAUUUUUUUGUGUGUGUGUAUUUUUAGUAGAGAUGGGGUUUCACCAUGUUGGCCAGGCUGGUCUCGAACUCCUGACCUCGUGAUCCUCCCGCCUUGGCCUCCCAGAGUGCUGGGAUUACAGGUGUGAGCCACCACGCCCAGCUAAUUUUCUUUUUUUUUCUUUUUUUUUUUUGUAUUUUUAGUAGACAUGGGGUUUCACCGUGUUGGCCAGGCUGGUCUCGAACUCCUGACCUUGUGAUCCGGCUGCCUCGGCCUCCCAAAGUGCUGGGAUUACCAGCGUGAGCCACGCACCCAGCCAACUUUUGACUUUGUGCGGAACUCAUUUGUUGUUGACCCUUUCCCCCUCCACUGGCAGCUUUUGAUUUCCUUUCUUUGAGCUCUUUGGGGUGGCUCUGGAUGUCAUCAGGACUGCUUUGCGCCUCUUUGGAGAUGGCUUAUGUGUCCUUGGUUAAGUCCAUAGCUUUAGUUAAGGCUUAUUGGUUUUGGUGAGUCACUUGGGAGGUACCUUUGGUUUUAAAAAAAAAGGUCUCAAAGCCAUGGCUAUCAGCUGUUGGUCUCAGCUAAAAUCUGAUAAUAAGAUAUUUGAAAGGAUUUUAAAAAAGAGCUCUGUGGUCAGAAGUUGGCUUAAUUAAAAACAGGUGAGCUGAUCUUCAAGCCAUGUAUCUACAGCCUUUUCUGCUUUUGGACCCUGUUUCUGGGAAUUUUUUUUUCAGGUGACUGAAACCCCUUUAAAUUGUGUGUUUGGUCCUUCUGUUUGGUUCCUUUGUUGGUAUAAUUUUGAUGAGAAAAAUGUAAAAUUGUAUUGGCCUUUUAGAACCUUAACAUUUUUCCAAAUUGGCUCCUCUAAGGAUUGCAGUCCCAUUUACUUCUACCCCUCCGUGCUCCUCCAUCCCCUUUGCCAUCUUUGGUACCUAAUGAAGGGAUCUACAAGGGACUUCUGAUGACUUAGAGACCCCUUGGGGAACGCAAAGAAAGGUGCCACGCGCCCCGCUUUUGUCUUCCUUAUGGGGCCUGAGGAGUCGUGGGUAGCUUCCUCUCGGGUCUAAAGCUUGGCUGUCUUUGGCACUGUGUCACUGGAUCUCUUUGGCUUUGGGGGUACCAGGGAUUACGUUGCACUGUGAGACAGUGCAUGACCUGAGUGUGUGUGAUGGCCGGCAGGUCACUGGCGAGGGCUGCCUCACAGUUUUGGAGGUGGCUGAAAGCAGUUGUAGUGAAUGGUUGUUCCUGCAGUGGCUGCUUGUUUCUCUGCAUGUUUAGAUGAGAAAGGCACAAUCUGAACACUUGGAGACUAUGGAAGCACUUGGCGUCAAAGGCUGAGACUCCGUGGGCUGAUUGCUGUGGGUCUCCCACCAGCCUCAGGGGAAUGUCUUCAUAGUGAGGUACACUGUGGAAACACUGUAUGGCUUUGUCUCAUAUAUAUCUCUUUUUAGAGGGAACUCAGCAUUCAGUGUAAAUGUGGGAUCCUUGAUUUUAAAAGAUCUAGAUGCUCUGCCUUCCAGCUGCACCUGUUUUUCACAUAUUUAAAUAUUAGGUCCUCCAAACUGCAAAUGCUUUUUUGGCCAUGUUCAUUAAUGAGCUCUGUCCUGAGCCCAGUGGUCUAGUUCAAAAAUGGAGAAUAAAUUAAUAGCCACAUAUUUAAAUAACAUUGUUGUCCUUAUAAAAUCCUGUGGUGAAUUUCUAUGACUUUUUGUUACCUCAGCAUCCAUUUAAAAUCUUCCUUUAACAUACUAAAUCAAAGCUUAAACUUUCUCCCUGUGGAAUUGCUUGAACCAAGGAGGCAGAGGUUGCAGUGAGUCAAGAUCGUGCCGUUGCACUCCAACCUGGGCGACAGAGCAAGACUCCGUCUUGAAAAAAUUCAGUAAAUAAAAAUAAUUUUUUUUUCUCUGUGCUUCAAGAUGUAAAUUUGUUGCCUUGUUUUCUCUAAAACUUGGUAAGGGCUUUGGCCGUGUGAGACAGAUAAAUUUUACCUUGUUCCAUUUACAGAGGCACAAUUUUAAGUAUCCUUUUAAACUAGUGAUUUUUACCCGAUUCGUGGCUAAAAUCUUAAAACUAAAGCUAUAAAAUCUUGAUUUGUGUCUGUAUUUUUAUGUGUACAUGCCUGUUUGUAUAUUAUGUACAUAGUAGCAAAUUGACGUAUAAAUAAAUAAGUGCUCAUGAAUGAUGUAACUAAACCCAGAUGCUUUUCUAGUUCAUGUGACUAGUAAUCUUUGGCAAAUAAACUUAGUUUUAAAAUUGUUGCUGCUGGGUGCAGUGGCUCACACCUGUAAUCCCAGCACUUUGGGAGGCUGAGGCGGGCAAAUCACGAGGUCAAGAGAUCGAGACCAUCCUGGCCAACAUGGUGAAACCCCGUCUCUACUAAAAAUACAAAAAUUAGCCAGGCGUGGUGGCAUGCGCCUGUAGUCCUAGCUACUCAGGAGGCUGAGGCAGGAGAAUCACUUGAACCUGGGAGGUAGAGGUUGCAGUGAGCCGAGACUGCACUACUGCACUCUAGCCUGGGUGACAGAGUGAGAC